This 420-nucleotide ribosomal RNA is filed under the name uncultured eukaryote. RNAcentral's name for it is "SSU rRNA". It matches the Rfam family "Eukaryotic small subunit ribosomal RNA", at positions 202 to 622 of the family's 1831-position model. The record is from RNAcentral.
UGUAUUUAUUAGAUUAAAAACCAGUGCCCUUCGGGGCUCUCUGGUGAUUCAUGAUAACUCCUCGAAUCGCAUGGCCUUGCGCCGGCGAUGGUUCAUUCAAAUUUCUUCCCUAUCAACUUUCGAUGUUUGGGUAUUGGUCAAACAUGGUUGCAACGGGUAACGGAAGGUUAGGGCUCGACCCCGGAGAAGGAGCCUGAUAAACGGCUACUACUUCCAAGGAAGGCAGCAGGCGCGCAAAUUACCCAACCCCGACCCGGGGAGGUAGUGACAAUAAAUACUGAUACAGGGCUUUUUUGGGUCUUGUAUUUGGAAUGACUACAAUUUAAAUCCCUUAACUAGGAACAAUUGGAGGGCAAGUAUGGUGCCAGCAGCCCCGGUAAUUCCCUCUCCUAUAGCGUAUAUUAAAUUUGUUGUGUUUAA